Molecule: ribosomal RNA, 260 nt
Filed under: uncultured bacterium
Lineage: Bacteria
Description: partial 16S ribosomal RNA
Rfam family: Bacterial small subunit ribosomal RNA
Source: RNAcentral
CAGCGCGGUAAUACGUAGGUGGCAAGCGUUGUCCGGAAUUAUUGGGCGUAAAGCGCGCGCAGGCGGCUUCUUAAGUCCAUCUUAAAAAGUGCGGGGCUUAACCCCGUGAUGGGAUGGAAAACUGAGAGGCUGGAGUAUCGGAGAGGAAAGUGGAAUUCCUAGUGUAGCGGUGAAAUGCGUAGAGAUUAGGAAGAACACCGGUGGCGAAGGCGACUUUCUGGACGACAACUGACGCUGAGGCGCGAAAGCGUGGGGAGCAA